GAUGAACGCUGGCGGCGUGCCUAAUACAUGCAAGUCGAGCGAACGGACGAGAAGCUUGCUUCUCUGAUGUUAGCGGCGGACGGGUGAGUAACACGUGGAUAACCUACCUAUAAGACUGGGAUAACUUCGGGAAACCGGAGCUAAUACCGGAUAAUAUUUUGAACCGCAUGGUUCAAAAGUGAAAGAAGGUCUUGCUGUCACUUAUAGAUGGAUCCGCGCUGCAUUAGCUAGUUGGUAAGGUAACGGCUUACCAAGGCAACGAUGCAUAGCCGACCUGAGAGGGUGAUCGGCCACACUGGAACUGAGACACGGUCCAGACUCCUACGGGAGGCAGCAGUAGGGAAUCUUCCGCAAUGGGCGAAAGCCUGACGGAGCAACGCCGAGUGAGUGAUGAAGGUCUUCGGAUCGUAAAACUCUGUUAUUAGGGAAGAACAUAUGUGUAAGUAACUGUGCACAUCUUGACGGUACCUAAUCAGAAAGCCACGGCUAACUACGUG
RNAcentral lists this ribosomal RNA (497 nucleotides) under uncultured bacterium. RNAcentral's name for it is "partial 16S ribosomal RNA". It matches the Rfam family "Bacterial small subunit ribosomal RNA", at positions 28 to 507 of the family's 1533-position model. The record is from RNAcentral.